AUAUACACUUUAUACCACUCUGAAAACGCCUGACCUCGUCUGAUCUCAGAAGCUAAGCAGGGUUCGGCUCAGUUAGUACUUGGAUGGGAGACUGACUGAGAAUCCCGGGUGCUGUAGGCU
This 120-nucleotide ribosomal RNA is filed under the name Nestor notabilis (Kea). The record is from RNAcentral. Lineage: Eukaryota; Metazoa; Chordata; Aves; Psittaciformes; Psittacidae.